UGCCUUCGGGAACUGUGAGACAGGUGCUGCAUGGCUGUCGUCAGCUCGUGUUGUGAAAUGUUGGGUUAAGUCCCGCAACGAGCGCAACCCUUAUCCUUUGUUGCCAGCGAUUAGGUCGGGAACUCAAAGGAGACUGCCAGUGAUAAACUGGAGGAAGGUGGGGAUGACGUCAAGUCAUCAUGGCCCUUACGACCAGGGCUACACACGUGCUACAAUGGCGCAUACAAAGAGAAGCGACCUCGCGAGAGCAAGCGGACCUCAUAAAGUGCGUCGUAGUCCGGAUUGGAGUCUGCAACUCGACUCCAUGAAGUCGGAAUCGCUAGUAAUCGUGGAUCAGAAUGCCACGGUGAAUACGUUCCCGGGCCUUGUACACACCGCCCGUCACACCAUGGGAGUGGGUUGCAAAAGAAGUAGGUAGCUUAACCUUCGGGAGGGCGCUUACCACUUUGUGAUUCAUGACUGGGGUGAAGUCGUAACAAGGUAACCGUAGGGGAACCUGCGGUUGGAUCACCUCCUUACCUUAAAGAAGC
RNAcentral lists this ribosomal RNA (530 nucleotides) under Salmonella enterica. RNAcentral's name for it is "bacterial SSU rRNA". It matches the Rfam family "Bacterial small subunit ribosomal RNA", at positions 1014 to 1533 of the family's 1533-position model. Lineage: Bacteria; Pseudomonadati; Pseudomonadota; Gammaproteobacteria; Enterobacterales; Enterobacteriaceae. The record is from RNAcentral.